AUGUUACUCAGUGUCAGGGAAGCCAGUGUCCAGGUGUAGAAACAUCUGGAGUCUUGGCUCUGCCAUUUUUAAACAGUGGGACUUGAUCAAAUAACAGGACUGUUUAUUUUUCUCCAUUGAUUUUUUUAUUCACUUUACAUCCCGAUCACAGACCCCCCCCCCCCAGUCCCACCAUUGCAAAUCCCUUCCCCCAUUGCUUCAUCCCCUUCUCCUCAGAGAAUGGGGAGACCCCUUGGGUACUAUCCCACUCUGGGGUAUCUAGUCCCAGCAGGACUAGGCACAUCCUCUCCACUGAGGCCCAAACAGGCAGUCUGGGUAGGAAAACGGGGAGCCAAUGGCAGGCAACAGAGAUGGAGACAGCCCUUGCUCUACUUCUCACACGAAGACCAAGCUGCACGUUUGCUACAAAUGUGUAGGGGUCUAGGUCCAGCUCCUGCAUGCUCCCUGAUCCACUCUCUGUGAGCCUUCAUGGUCCCUGUUUGGUUGACUCUGUAGGUCCUUCCCCUACUCUUCCACAGGCUCCCCAAGAUGUUUGGCUGUGGGUCUCUGCCUCCAUCUGCUGCUUGAUGAAUCCUCUCAGGAGACAGCUAUGCUAGGCUCCUGUCUGCAAGCAUAGCAGAGUGUCAUUAAUAGUGUCAGGGGUUAGUUCUCAAGUCGGGCAGUCAUUGUUGGCUGUUGAGGGAAUGAGUUAGUGAGUG
Molecule: long non-coding RNA, 698 nt
Filed under: Rattus norvegicus (Norway rat)
Lineage: Eukaryota; Metazoa; Chordata; Mammalia; Rodentia; Muridae
Description: long non-coding RNA NONRATT019647
Source: RNAcentral